This 1044-nucleotide long non-coding RNA is filed under the name Anser brachyrhynchus (Pink-footed goose). RNAcentral describes it as "lncRNA (ENSABRG00000002893.1)". Lineage: Eukaryota; Metazoa; Chordata; Aves; Anseriformes; Anatidae. The record is from RNAcentral.
GUUAGUCAUUUUAGGGUUUGUUCUGCCAAACAGAGAUAUCCCAGGGUUUUUAUUACAACGCUUUAAGAAUGGCUUUUGGGAUACAUGAAACAGUUUUUUCCGAUCUGCUAAAGCUGUGACAAUUUUCAUGUGUGCCUUUACAAAGCUAAUCAGCAGCUGCAUUUGUUUCUUCUCUCCAAAGUACUGCUCCCCUUCUUGGCUGUGUUCCUCUUAUGAAUAUUCAUAAAUGUGAUAAAAAUUAAGUGUGAGAGAUGUGCUCUCUAUUCUUAUUUGAGGUGCUUCCUUCUGUUCAUGUCUGUAGCAUACUGACUUUCUGAUCUUCCUAAAAAAAAAAAAGAAAGGAAAGGGAUAAAUGGGUAAAUAGAGAGACAUGCAAAAGCUAGUGCUGGGUGUUGCCUGGCGACUAAUAGCUAACAGAGCCAAAUUAGCCAAGCUGCUCUGGAGACACAGGUGGUUAGCAGAUAGGGACCUCAAAAACAGGAAAGAGGAAGGAGGAGAGAUUAACUGAGUUUGGAAGAGGAGGCAAAGGUGAAACUGUUAGGGAGGUGUGGGCUAGAGUCCCUGAGAAUUAGCAAGAGCUUAAAGCCUGACUGCUUUUGGAAAUGUCUGAAGGUUGUGAGUUCUCAUGGCUUUUCUGAAGGUACUGAGGAGUUUCCUCAGGCUGCAGUUCAGCAGGAAGCUGCUUUUCAACUUCAAAACAGCCACAAAAGCCAUGGGUAAGUGGAGGUUUGAAAUAUUUCUUGAAAGCAAAGAAGAGAAAUUUGCCCAUUAAAGUAAACUUCUACCCUCUUGUCGUCCCCUGCAUCUCCCCAACAGGAAAGCCUAAAACUAAGUCAUUUUCCUGAUAACAAGGGAAAGCACAGUAUCAAGGAGCAUUAGUUUGUAAGUUGCUAUUGUCACUUAAAUGUAAAAAUAUAGACUGGGAGAAAAUUUCUCUGUAUGUUGCUGAAAGUAAUCAGUCUUAGUUACUGAUAGACUGUGUGAAUUAUGUUGGAAUGAUUGUACUCAGCUGUGCUGUGUGAAAUAAACUUAAUGCCUUCUGCA